Molecule: ribosomal RNA, 430 nt
Filed under: uncultured Nitrospinaceae bacterium
Lineage: Bacteria; Pseudomonadati; Nitrospinota; Nitrospinia; Nitrospinales; Nitrospinaceae
Description: bacterial SSU rRNA
Rfam family: Bacterial small subunit ribosomal RNA
Source: RNAcentral
UGGGGAAUUUUGCGCAAUGGGGGAAACCCUGACGCAGCAACGCCGCGUGAGUGAUGAAGGCCUUCGGGUUGUAAAGCUCUUUUAGUGGGGAAGAAGCCCUCCCUGGCUAAUAUCCAGGGGGUCUGACGGUACCCACAGAAAAAGUUCCGGCUAACUACGUGCCAGCAGCCGCGGUAAUACGUAGGGAGCAAGCGUUGUUCGGAAUUAUUGGGCGUAAAGAGCGCGUAGGCGGUUUGGUAAGUCUGGUGUGAAAUCCCGGAGCUUAACUCCGGAACUGCAUUGGAUACUGCCAGGCUUGAGUGUGGGAGAGGAGAGUGGAAUUCCCAGUGUAGAGGUGAAAUUCGUAGAUAUUGGGAGGAACACCCGUGGCGAAGGCGGCUCUCUGGACCACAACUGACGCUGAGGCGCGAAAGCUAGGGGAGCAAACGGG